GUGCUCGCUUUGGCAGCUCAUAUCCUAAGGAUUAGCAUGAUACCAAGAAGAUUAGCAUGGCCCCUGAGCAAGGAUGACAGGCAAAUUCGUGAAGUGGUCCAUAUUUUU
Small nuclear RNA from Cavia aperea (Brazilian guinea pig), 108 nucleotides. The record is from Ensembl. NCBI's taxonomy places the organism in Eukaryota, Metazoa, Chordata, Mammalia, Rodentia, Caviidae.